AACGGACGCUGGCGGCAUGCCUAACACAUGCAAGUCGAACGAAGCCUUCGGGCUUAGUGGCGCACGGGUGCGUAACGCGUGGGAAUCUGCCCUUGGGUUUGGAAUAACAGUUAGAAAUGACUGCUAAUACCGGAUGAUGUCUUCGGACCAAAGAUUUAUCGCCCAAGGAUGAGCCCGCGUAAGAUUAGGUAGUUGGUGGGGUAAUGGCCCACCAAGCCGACGAUCCUUAGCUGGUCUGAGAGGAUGAUCAGCCACACUGGGACUGAGACACGGCCCAGACUCCUACGGGAGGCAGCAGUGGGGAAUAUUGGACAAUGGGCGAAAGCCUGAUCCAGCAAUGCCGCGUGAGUGAUGAAGGCCUUAGGGUUGUAAAGCUCUUUUACCAGGGAUGAUAAUGACAGUACCUGGAGAAUAAGCUCCGGCUAACUCCGUGCCAGCAGCCGCCGUAA
Molecule: ribosomal RNA, 449 nt
Filed under: uncultured bacterium
Lineage: Bacteria
Description: partial 16S ribosomal RNA
Rfam family: Bacterial small subunit ribosomal RNA
Source: RNAcentral